RNAcentral lists this non-coding RNA (153 nucleotides) under Solemya velum gill symbiont. The record is from RNAcentral. Lineage: Bacteria; Pseudomonadati; Pseudomonadota; Gammaproteobacteria. RNAcentral also lists the same sequence under 1 other name.
GCAUUCGCCUCCUUGUCAGGUGCCCUCAACUGCCGUCUUCAAAGAUUGGUAACAGGGAUAAUCGGGAAGUUGGUGAGAUGCCAACACUGCCCCCGCAACGGUAAAUCGCGUUUAGCGAUGAGUCCGGAGACCGGCCUGGCAAAUAGGUGACAG